ACUCAAAGGAAUUGACGGGGGCCCGCACAAGCGGUGGAUCAUGUGGUUUAAUUCGAAGCAACGCGAAGAACCUUACCUGGGUUUGACAUCCCCGGACCGCCCUAGAAAUAGGGUUUUCGUAGCAAUACGACCGGGAGACAGGUGCUGCAUGGCUGUCGUCAGCUCGUGUGGUGACAUGUUGGGUUAAGUCCCGCAACGAGCGCAACCCUUGCCUUUAGUUGCCAGCUUUCAGUUGGGCACUCUAGAGGGACUGCCGUGGUUAACACGGAGGAAGGUGGGGAUGACGUCAAGUCCUCAUGGCCUUUAUAUCCAGGGCGACACACGUGAUACAAUGGUCGGUACAGAGGGAAGCGAAAGAGCGAUCUGGAGCCAAUCUCAAAAAACCGAUCUCAGUUCGGAUUGGAGUCUGCAACUCGACUCCAUGAAGGUGGAAUCGCUAGUAAUCGCGGAUCAGCACGCCGCGGUGAAUACGUUCCCGGGCCUUGCACACACCGCCCGU
RNAcentral lists this ribosomal RNA (499 nucleotides) under uncultured bacterium. RNAcentral describes it as "partial 16S ribosomal RNA". It matches the Rfam family "Bacterial small subunit ribosomal RNA", at positions 899 to 1397 of the family's 1533-position model. The record is from RNAcentral.